UGCUCCUGCUCAGGUCUUGCAGUUCCUGGUCGCUCAUUCAGACCACCAUUCAAGCAAUUCUCAGGAGCCAGGAGGGAAGUCUUGGUUCUUUGCAGGAGCUGGCGUUGCUCACCGGUAUCAUCAGCAAAGCUGCACUUCCAGGCGUUCUCAACGAGCUGGAUAUCGGUUUAAAUGAAGGAUCAAUGAUGGAGCUACAAGGACAUAUUGGACGCUUCCAGCGCCAGUGUCUUGCAUUAUUAAACCGCUUUGGUGGGUCCGAUAGACUUCGGCAGCUCAGUCUGCAAGACGAUUCCUCCCAGCUGGACGGAGUAAGCAAGAGGGACGCCAUGGAAUUAGCCAUGCAACAGGUAAUGGUUAAAAUACAUCAAGAUGGAAUCAUAAACACUAAUAGGUAAUGAUGUUGCAGUCAAUUUCUCAGGUCUCAAGGGAAAACCUAGGGAUGUACCGAAUCCACUAUUUUGGAUUCGGCCGGACCCCCAAAUCUUUUCCGAAAGAUUCAGCCGAAUACCGAACCAAAUCCUAAUUUGCAUAUUCAAAUUAGGGGUGGGAAGGGGAAAACAUUUUUACUUCCUUGUUAUAUGACAAAAAGAAACACGAUAUUCCUCCCCGCACCUAAUUUGCAUAUGCAAAUUAGGAUUUGGUUCGGCC
Long non-coding RNA from Xenopus laevis (African clawed frog), 648 nucleotides. RefSeq lists it as uncharacterized. The record is from RefSeq and is a predicted model, not a curated record. Lineage: Eukaryota; Metazoa; Chordata; Amphibia; Anura; Pipidae. The transcript is spliced from 3 exons.